This 81-nucleotide transfer RNA is filed under the name Chamaesiphon sp. Its description in RNAcentral is "tRNA-Ile". It matches the Rfam family "tRNA". Rfam says of the family: Transfer RNA (tRNA) molecules are approximately 80 nucleotides in length. Their secondary structure includes four short double-helical elements and three loops (D, anti-codon, and T loops). The record is from RNAcentral. Lineage: Bacteria; Bacillati; Cyanobacteriota; Cyanophyceae; Gomontiellales; Chamaesiphonaceae.
CCAAGGUUGGCCGAUCGGUUUAGGCAGCGGACUCAUAAUCCGCGAGGCAACUCUAGACAGGUUCGAUUCCUGUACCUUGGA